RNAcentral lists this ribosomal RNA (429 nucleotides) under uncultured bacterium. Its description in RNAcentral is "bacterial SSU rRNA". It matches the Rfam family "Bacterial small subunit ribosomal RNA", at positions 355 to 775 of the family's 1533-position model. The record is from RNAcentral.
UGGGGAAUAUUGGGCAAUGGGCGAAAGCCUGACCCAGCGACGCCGCGUGGGUGAUGAAGGCCUUCGGGUUGUAAAGCCCUGUCAUGCGGAAAGAACGACCCUGCGACGCAUACUCACAGGGAGUGACGGUACCGCAGGAGGAAGCACCGGCUAACUCCGUGCCAGCAGCCGCGGUAAUACGGAGGGUGCAAGCGUUGUUCGGGAUUAUUGGGCGUAAAGGGCGCGUAGGCGGUAAUGUAAGUCAGAUGUGAAAUACUCCGGCUCAACCAGAGAACAGCAUCUGAAACUGCAUAACUAGAGUACAGAAGAGGGAAACGGAAUUCCCGGUGUAGAGGUGAAAUUCGUAGAUAUCGGGGGGAACACCAGUGGCGAAGGCGGUUUCCUGGUCUGAUACUGACGCUGAGGCGCGAAAGCGUGGGGAGCAAACAG